UACAUACUCAAUAGACUUGUUCUACUAAACGCAGGCACUCGCAUCCUGUACGGAACGCGACAAGCUUGUAAUUAGAGAAAGCAGCUCAACUCAACCUAUACGUCGAAUUCAGCUUACUAAAAAAGAAGCAAAACGCAUACCUUCUACAGAGCACUUGGUCAAAAUCCGUCUUUUGUUGCUUUAAUUUUGUGGCCGAGAUAAUAAACGGUCCAAGCGUAGUGUGAACGUGAGCGCAAAACGGACCGGUCGGACGCAGCGCGCAUGCGAUUCCCCGCUCAAAAAUGACCAUCGCAAAAAUUGCGCGCGAAACAACACGCCUGUUAUUUUUCUUCUUUAUAUUUUUUAAAUCUUAACCAAUAAGUUUUUAAUAGGGCAAUUUUUUUAUUUUAUUUCCUCACCAAAGAGUUUCGCUCAAUUUUAUAAUUAUGAAAUUAAAAUGCGUACAAAAUUGAUGUACAUAAAAUGUGCAGUGUUGAUAGUGAUAUUGUUUUUAGUGAACGGUUGUGAUAAUAAAAAAGUGACGUCUGUUAUAAGGGACAAUGGUGGUUUUAGUGAAGUCCAACAUAAUUACCUGUCACAGGAACGGAUUAGGAACAUUUCGAGCACAUCAGAGGUGGAGCAAAGUAGAGGAUUUUUCGGCCAUGGUGGCAUCUUCUCUCUCGGCAAGGUGCUCAACUUCUUCCCGGUGGGCGGGGAGCGGGAGUGCCAGCCGCAGAAGUAUACAGUCGCACGCGCAGGCAUCUGUCUCAACCCGUACGACUGUAGACAGCGAGACGGCAAGGCGGCUGGGAACUGUGCGCAUGGGCUCGGCGUAUGUUGCGUUUUCGAGGUGACCUGCGGCGGGACCGUGCAGAACAACCUGACCUACUUCAUGUCCCCUGGGUUCCCGGAACUGUGGACCGGGGAGAAGGAAUGUUCCAUCACCGUGGAAAAGGCCUUCGCUGGCAUCAUGCAGCUCCGGAUCGACUUCGUGCAUUUUACUAUCGGCCAACCAAACAGGAUGACGGGAGAGUGUGAUGAAGACGCGAUGAUCAUAGGAGAGGGGAGGAACAACUUCACCGUGUGUGGACAGAACCACGGACAACAUAUAUACUACACGCUACCAACAGCAACCGAGUCCCGGGAGGCUGGUGAGCUACCUGUCAGCAAAAGCACUCGUCUCACCGUGGUCAUGCGAGGCAGCGACAUGCCUCGUCUCUGGCUGCUCAGACUCGCGCAGAUGCCCCUCGCCAACUCUGCGCCGCACAACUGUCUGCAAUACUUUACUGCUAAUAAUGGAACAAUAAAAACCUUCAACUAUGCCAGCAACGGGCGGCACCUGGCGAGCCAGGACUACAGAGCCUGCAUCAGGAAGAACGCCGGCCAUUGCGCCGUCAGGUACACCGCUUGUGACGGCAGAUCCUUCAGGAUUGGCAACGGAGGAUCUUCAUCAGCUGAUCCUUAUUACAGCGUUGGUUCAGGUCCGGGUGCUUUAGGAGGACCAGGCACUGGCUUCUACGGACCUGAAGGGUCAUUCAUACAAGGAUCUCCUGCCAUGCUAUCUUCUACACCACGAGCCACAACAUUGGCCCAAGAGCAGCAGAUCAUCGAAAACGAUCCAGUACAGGAAGAUCAGAUGAUGGAAGCAGAUGGCUCGCAGACGCAGCAGGAUGAGGUGGAAGGCUCCGGAGCGGACCCUCAGAUUGAACCUCAGACACAAUCGACCCGGCCAGCUCGACCACCGCCGUCGAAGAGCAUCAUGCAAGUGAUCUGGAGCUUCAUCUGGCCUUCUUGGCUCUGGGGACAGUCCAGGACAUUCAACACGAGAUGGUCACCCUACGCCCAGCACUACAAGACUGGUCCAGAGAAUGAUGACUUUAGAUACAACGGCUACGGACACUUUGGACUGGGUCUCCACGGGUUUGGCAGACUGAGGUGCCGCGAUAGAAUCACUAUACCCUGUGAGAACGAGUAUUUUUUAUCGAGUGUCCCCUACGGUCCUGGGGUGUGUGACCCUCAUCACUGCGGCGAUUCCUUCUGUCCUGGACAGUCCCAUAAGAACUGCCGUGUGGAGACCUCAAUCACUCCCUUCGCGGUGUCUGUCCACUUCGGACCUCCCAGGAACAAACAGAACCCUGAGGACAACAUUGGAGCUUGCUUGAAAUAUCAGCAGAUACCUUGUGACUCGUGAUCUGGGGGUCUAAAAAGGCAAAGUCGGCAUUGCGCCCUUAUUUUUAAAUGCGCCGAUGUAAAAUGCCAAUGUUUUAGAUCAACUCCUAAAAAGUGGCUUUUUUAGACUUCCAGCGCAGUGUGAUUCUCUAUGUUAGUGACAUCGCUGGGUUAAAAAAGGCCAUAACAUAACAUAAACUGCCUAUAUACGUCCCACUGCUGGGCACAAGCCUCCCCUCAAUCAACCGCCCCCCUCCGGUUGAUGGAGCAUACUCCACCACGCUGCUCCAAUGCGGGUUGGUGGAGGUGUUUUUUUACGGCUAAUAGCCGGGACCAACGGCUUAACGUGCCCUCCGAAGCACGGAAUCAUCUUACUUUUUCGGACAAUCAGGUGAUUCAAGCCUGAAAAGUCCUUACCAAACAAAGGACAGUCUCACAAAGUGAUUUCGACAAUGUCCCCAUCGGG
RNAcentral lists this unclassified non-coding RNA (2614 nucleotides) under Pectinophora gossypiella (pink bollworm). RNAcentral's name for it is "uncharacterized LOC126373971". Lineage: Eukaryota; Metazoa; Arthropoda; Insecta; Lepidoptera; Gelechiidae. The record is from RNAcentral.